UACGGAGGAUGCGAGCGUUAUCCGGAUUUAUUGGGUUUAAAGGGUGCGCAGGCGGGAUGCCAAGUCAGCGGUAAAAAUGCGGUGCUCAACGCCGUCGAGCCGUUGAAACUGGCGUUCUUGAGUGGGCGAGAAGUAUGCGGAAUGCGUGGUGUAGCGGUGAAAUGCAUAGAUAUCACGCAGAACUCCGAUUGCGAAGGCAGCAUACCGGCGCCCAACUGACGCUGAGGCACGAAAGCGUGGGGAUCAAACAGG
Molecule: ribosomal RNA, 252 nt
Filed under: uncultured bacterium
Lineage: Bacteria
Description: partial 16S ribosomal RNA
Rfam family: Bacterial small subunit ribosomal RNA
Source: RNAcentral